UAAACAAUUCUGAUCUGAUUAUUCCUUUAUAAUCUGAUUUUGAUAAACAGCUGAUGAAACGGGAGGUGUCUUGGCCCUCAGAGAAGAGAUACCCAGGCGAUAUAAUCAGGCUCUCUUAUCUUGCCAGGCAGGGGUUGAUUUCACGACUCCUAUUAAUAGCUCAUGAUGGCAAGAACUGUGACCUCUGCCCUGAAUCUUCCGAGCCUUGAGAGCGAAGUGACAGCAGCCAAUUGGGUAUGGUUUUCCAGUCCUGGGGACCUUACACCUUUGAAGCCAGCACUCUGAGCACAAGCUGUACUCCAGCCUGCAGAUUCAUGAUUCUGCUGUUGGCUUGUGUUUCCAAACCGAGGAGUCUUGCUGUUGUGUCCAGACAAGCUUUGAGCUCCACAUUCUGCAGCGUCCGCCUGAGUGGGUCUCCAGGGGCGAGCCACACCACAGCAGCUCCCAAUCCCUUUGAAUGCGGCACUCUUGCAACUGUGUUUCCCUUCCUCAGAGUCACCUCCUCCAAGCCGACCUCAACUAGCGCAAGUUCUGCUCGAAGGGAAGAGGCCUCCCCUUGCUCCCCAAAGGUCAAGGAAGAAUAGCUGCGAGCUCUUCUCUCUAGUCCAGCGAGGCGGGGCCGGAGGGGGAGGGGCAAAUGGGUGGCUAGGGUGGGGAAGGAAGAGGUAGAAAAUAUAAGAAGGAAAUGACACACGGGAACAUGUUUUUGAAACGAUGCUUAGUGCUCUAGCAGAGCUGUCAACUCCUAGAAAGCAGGACCAGGCCUGUACUGGAGAGACAGGAAAGUGGGAAAGGACCAUGUCACAGAAGGAUGAAGGCUACUGCCCAACCGCAGACAGAAACAAGAAGCUACCACUCCCACUGUCUGCGUUUGUUUAUAGCCUCUGCUUUUUCUUUAUGACACACAUAUAGAAGACGUGGUGAUGGAGGUAGAUGAAACACACAGAUACCCAGACUGAGAGAAAACAUUUAUUAAACUUUUAACCUUCAUCCCCAGCUUAUAGGAAGCAGAAACACCCAGAUGUUGUUUAAGUCGGGGAGUUUCCAGCUUUGCAACUGGCAGAAGGCCAGGCACACCGUCAGCGCGUGGGAGAAAGUGGGUUCUUGAGGCUGUGUCAGAAGUUCCAAGUUUAUGAGGCAGUUACAGCUGGAUUUAGCUGGUAUCUACAGGCUUAGGAUCUAAUUGUUUCUUUACAGUGCACUUUAUCUCGAUACAAGUGCACGCGCUAAAUCGAGGGUGGUGGCUCUGUUUUCUUAAUAUUUUUCUGUUUUACAUUUUUUUCUCCAAUGCAAUGAUGAUACUACAAGCUUCUCUUGGGCUCUACCACAUCUGACAGGGCUUAGAAUACUGUGGGUGUGUCCUGAGAGGCCCAGGGCAUUUUACCGUGUAUAUUUUGAAAGACAUCUUGAGCUUAGACUCUUUUUCCCAUAGGAGGACACCCUGGACGACUCUUCUCUAGAAAAUGUAGACACCAAAGAAUACUGAGAGCUCACACAACUAUUUCCAGCUGUGGGAUUCUGGAAGACCCAUGCUUUCUCCCAAGCCUUGAUGUCUCUUUUCUUUUCCCCAUCAGGUUGAGUAGAGCACUAUUGCCUCCUUCCUUCUUUCCUUGGGGACCAUAGCUGGAGGAAGACUCUAUCCGCAGACCUUGCACGUCUUCUGAGAACAACCAAGGGAGGCCUAGGUUUCAUGCCAGGAAGAACAGCCAAUGACCCAUGCCCCAGCUUUAGGGUAGUUACAGCAUCGCCAAGUGUCAAUGUCUGCUCUGCUGCCCCAAAUGAAGAGCCCUACACCAGUGGCUCAUGCCAGAAAUUAGAGCUGAGCCCUCACAACUCUGUAGGUAGUGAGUCUAAGAUCCUGAUGCCAGCCUGCCGGUUUCUUUGGCAACCCCUCUGCCUGGCUUGCAAAUGGCAGCUGCACCCCAUUUCUCUGCACAGUCUUCCUUCUUUGAUAUCUUCUCCUGUAAGGGCUCCAGUCAUAUUGCAUGAGGGUCCCUUCAUGACCUUAUUUUAACUCUGCUGUUUCUCUAAAGAACCUGAACAUGUGGCAUCGUAGAGUCAGAUGUCAACAAACAUGAAUCAAGACAGGAAUUGGUAAACCCAGAGUGACACUGUGUCAACCGCUCUCAGAAGGCUGGGAUCUUUCCGUAUCCUGCAGCCCCAGGCUACGGCUGAUCCAGUAGUGCCCUUCUCACCUUUUUUUUUUUUUUUUUUUUUUUUUUUAACAAAACUACCCAUUUCACCAGCCUUUCUGAGAGUCAUAGACCAGUUGUCUCUAGGAUCUCAGUCCCUGUGUGUUGGGAUGUGUUCUGGAACAAUCUUCUUAGAGCCUCCAGCAUUGCCAAGCUGGUGCUCAAUGUGCUUCUUCAUCUGGAAUUACCUCCCCUGGUGUCUUAGUCAGGGUUUCUAUUCCUGCACAAACAUCAUGACCAAGAAACAAGCUGGGGAGGAAAGGGUUUAUUCAGCUUACACUUCCACACUGCUGUUCAUCACCAAAGGAAGUCAGGACUGGAACUCAAGCAGGUCAGGAAGCAGGAGCUGAUGUAGAGGCCACGGAGGGAUGUUACUUACUGGCUUGCUUCCCCUGGCUUGCUCAGCUUGUUUUCUUAUAGAACCCAAGACUACCAACCCAAGGAUGGCACCACCCACAAGGGGACCUCCCCCCUUGAUCACUAAUUGAGAAAAUGUCCAACAGCUGGAUCUCAUGGAGGUAUUCCCUCAAUUGAAGCUCCUUUCUCUGAGAUAACUCCAGCCUGUGUCAAGUUGACACACACCACCAGCCAGUACACCUGGUUAUCCUGUGUGGGGAGCGGGUGUGGCGGCAGUCCCAAAGGCGCCAGGGACUGCAGCUAAGUCAUAUGACUUGCACCUGACUUCCUCAUAUAAGACACAAACAUCUUGAGUGCUGGGCAGGUGUACCAGGAUACAGGUGAAUCCAGUCUGAUGGAGAUUUGCCCCUGCUGCCCUGAUUAGCUGAAGCUGCGUGCCUGGUGAGGUGGCGUGGCCUGCUGUGCGUGGAUGGGAACUGAGAGUAUAAAAGAGUGAGAGGCCCAGGGUUCGGGGGAGAUAUAAACAGGGGAGAUAUAAACAGGGGAGAUAUAAACAGGGGAGAUAUAUGGAGAAAGAAGAAACAGGACUGAAUAAACGUGUGCAGAAGGAUCCUGUAGCAGCGUCGUUCUUCCUGGCCAGUUGGGCGCGCGUAACAGUUGGUGCCGGAAACCCGGGAAGAAAAACUCGGGACGGGACGAGAAGACCUGGGACGAGAAGACCUGGGACGAGAAAACCCGGGAAAAGAAACAUCUUCAGGCACGAGUGAAGACCCCCUGCUACAGGGAGGAUUCAGAACUGCAUAACGGGGAAGAAGUGGUUAAUAAAGGUUCCCGUAAAACAGACUGUUGAGAAGGAUCCGGCGUGGAUUCAGAACUCUUCAGCUGGGGAACGGUACUGAUGAAGAGAAAGAAGAAAGAUGAAGACUGAAUAAACUGCUGUUAGAAGGACUGGUGGUCGCAUCGUUCUUGCUGGUCGAGAGCAGGCGUGACAAUUGGUGGCCCGUACGGGGAACCGACUCCCCCACCGAGUUCAGAACUUUCAGCAGUCAGUGGUUGCCGGCAGGGUAAGUUCACGGUGAGUGAAACUUGCGACCCCAGGAGUUUAGGAAGGACCUCGAUAAAAUAGAGGUGAGCAUAAAGUUGCCAGGAAGUAGGCACAAAGUAACCCAGGAGUUUGGGAAGGACCUCGGAUAAAAUAGAGGCAAGCAUAAAGUUGCCAGGAAGCAGGCACAAGGUAACGAAAGGUUCCCGGCUUUGGGACAAGUUAAGGUUCCCGGUUUGGGGACAAGUUAAGGAACUAUGAUAACCUCAGUGUAGUGAUCAAUAGAUCCUCGCUGUGUAGUUAUGCUUUUUUCUCCCAUUGACCCUUUGUGGGUAGGUCUGAUAGUUUUGGUCUUGCUUGUUCUGAUAUAUGGACUCUGUUACUGUUUGAAUCAAGAGGCAGUCAAGACAGGUCAGAAAAUCCUUAUAGAGCAACAAGAAAGUAUGUCGGAAGAGGAGAAGGGCUUAAAAAGAAAAAGGAAAAAGAAAGGAGACACAGUGUUAUCAGGUGGACAGAAAGGACAAAAUAAAAGAGCUGAGGCGGAGGAGGAAGGCGAAUUAGCUUCUGCUCCCCCUCCCUAUGCCUCCUCGUCAGCCAUCUAUGGGCAGACCUUCUGUCCGGAGGUCUGGAAAGAGGAUAGAUUCUCCUUGCUGGGAUGUCCUAUUUUCACUGAUCAAGCUGAAUUUGCAUGGGAUAGAGAUAUGCUGCUUGAUCAAGGUAGAUUUGCACAACAACAAACAGGAUAUCCACUGCAGGUGUUUGAGCAGGUGAAUCAGAUUGCUAUAAGGGCAUGGAAAUCAUUGCCCAACAGAGGGGAAGCUAGUGAAAACUUGACUCUCAUAUUGACUCCCCAGAUGGACACACAGGUGAUUGAGGUUAUGGUCUCAUCACCACGAGGUACUGUGUCCAUCUCCCCUGGGGAUCGACAGGAUCAGGUGUUGACGUGGGCGAGAGGGUCUGUUUGUGUGUUUCCACAGGACCAGACAGAACCUCUUUUCGUGCCGGAGAGAUUGGUGAGACGCUGCAAGAAUGAGGCUCCUGAUCCAGUUGCCCCUGUGGAUGUGGUGGAUAUUCCCACAAGCACAAACGAUGGAGCCGAGAUGAGAGAUCCUUUCGGUAUUCCAGAAGCCGAUACCAGCUCGACAUGACAUUCAAAUUUUUCCACGCUUUUUGAUCCCUGAAUUCCCCUUAAAGAGAUAGCCCCGCUGGCCAUCUAUCCCUUGCUUCAGGGAAGAUGAGCGGGGAUGAGAGCCCUGGGAUGUGUGCUUGUUAUAGUGUGUGUGUGUUUUGUGUUGGGCACAUGUGUUAGGUGCAGAGUGUGCGGUCCGCACUUUCGCCAUGGUAGCAUAGGCUUUUGCUGCAGUGGAGGCGGGACAAUCUCCUCAGAUUCGGUUUGCCGCUCUAAAAGAAAUUAUGCUGCGUUAUGCCGUGGGGUGCGAGGCUAAGCACUGCACAGAGGAUAGCUUGCUGUUGGCAUCCUGUGGAAGGCACGUCUGAUUGCAUGAAGGUUCAGUGUCCUAGUUCCCUUCCCCUAGGAAAAACGACACGGGAGCUGGCCAAGACCUCUCUGGGUGAUGAGCCUAAGGGAUGGUUUUGUGUAGGGCCCCUAUGCUUGCACACUGGGGAUCAGACCUCUACCUUCACCCAUGAGGCUUGCUUGCAGCAAUUAAGAUCUGGCCAUAGAUUAAUCAACAUCCUGGCCUUUUGAUGCACCUGCCACAAGCAAAACACAAUCUCCCCAGGUGUGGCUUGGCAUGAUAGAGAGGUAGUCAGUGAUAAGACUCCCUGGGCAUGUCACCAACCUAAGACAGGGAUCAAACCAAUGCUGUUUGUCACCCAAGGACGGGUAAGGGGCAUGGCUGCGGGGGGCUAUCUACAGACAUUCUCUCUGCCAAAAAAGAAAAAAGGGGGAAUUGUGGGGAGCGGGUGUGGCGGCAGUCCCAAAGGCGCCAGGGACUGCAGCUAAGUCAUAUGACUUGCACCUGACUUCCUCAUAUAAGACACAAACAUCUUGAGUGCUGGGCAGGUGUACCAGGAUACAGGUGAAUCCAGUCUGAUGGAGAUUUGCCCCUGCUGCCCUGAUUAGCUGAAGCUGCGUGCCUGGUGAGGUGGCGUGGCCUGCUGUGCGUGGAUGGGAACUGAGAGUAUAAAAGAGUGAGAGGCCCAGGGUUCGGGGGAGAUAUAAACAGGGGAGAUAUAAACAGGGGAGAUAUAAACAGGGGAGAUAUAUGGAGAAAGAAGAAACAGGACUGAAUAAACGUGUGCAGAAGGA
This is a long non-coding RNA of Mus musculus (house mouse), 5863 nucleotides long. RefSeq annotates it as predicted gene, 32838. Lineage: Eukaryota; Metazoa; Chordata; Mammalia; Rodentia; Muridae. The record is from RefSeq and is a predicted model, not a curated record. The transcript is spliced from 3 exons.